Molecule: ribosomal RNA, 253 nt
Filed under: uncultured bacterium
Lineage: Bacteria
Description: partial 16S ribosomal RNA
Rfam family: Bacterial small subunit ribosomal RNA
Source: RNAcentral
UACAGAGGUCUCAAGCGUUGUUCGGAUUCAUUGGGCGUAAAGGGUGUGUAGGUGGCGCCGUAAGUCGGGUGUGAAAUUUCGGAGCUUAACUCCGAAACUGCAUUCGAUACUGCGGUGCUUGAGGACUUGAGAGGAGACUGGAAUUCAUGGUGUAGCAGUGAAAUGCGUAGAGAUCAUGAGGAAGACCAGUGGCGAAGGUGGGUCUCUGGACAGUUCCUGACACUGAGACACGAAGGCCAGGGGAGCAAACGGG